This 501-nucleotide ribosomal RNA is filed under the name uncultured bacterium. RNAcentral describes it as "partial 16S ribosomal RNA". It matches the Rfam family "Bacterial small subunit ribosomal RNA", at positions 30 to 523 of the family's 1533-position model. The record is from RNAcentral.
AUUGAACGCUGGCGGCAUGCCUUACACGUGCAAGUCAAACGGCAGCACGGGUGCUUGCACCUGGUGGCGAGUGGCGAACGGGUGAGUAAUACAUCGGAACGUACCUUAUCGUGGGGGAUAACGCAGCGAAAGCUGUGCUAAUACCGCAUACGCCCUGAGGGGGAAAGCGGGGGAUCGAAAGACCUCGCGCGAUUAGAGCGGCCGAUGCCUGAUUAGCUUGUUGGUGGGGUAAAAGCCCACCAAGGCGACGAUCAGUAGCUGGUCUGAGAGGACGAUCAGCCACACUGGGACUGAGACACGGCCCAGACUCCUACGGGAGGCAGCAGUGGGGAAUUUUGGACAAUGGGGGCAACCCUGAUCCAGCAAUGCCGCGUGAGUGAAGAAGGCCUUCGGGUUGUAAAGCUCUUUUGUCAGGGAAGAAACACCGGCUCUAACACAGUCCGGGAAUGACGGUACCUGAAGAAUAAGCACCGGCUAACUACGUGCCAGCCGCCGCUGUAA